AUGGGUCUCCCAGCCUGGCGCCUGGCUAUAGCCGGUUGUGGUCAGUGGGUGUGUUUGUGGAUCCAGAGGACGGAGGAGGGCAGGGGAAGACGGUGGGGAGUGACCUUCCAGCCUUCAGGCUGGGCUGGGAAGGGUGACCCAGCUGUGAGACCAGUGCUGAGCAGGGGUGUGUCCUGCGCCCCAGAUCCCCAACUCUUACCCACCUGGGGGCGGGGAGCAGACAGAGUCCUGAACCUCCCUCUCAGAGGCUGAAGAGGGAAGCCUGGCAUCGGCUGGGAAUCUGCGGAUCGGCCACCAAGUCAUCCAGUCAUUACGCCCAUCCACUUAUCCAUCCUUCCAUCCAUCCAUCUGUCCACUCACCCACCCACUUAUCCAUCCAGGACUAGGUCUUCCUGGUGAGCAAGAAUGGUGGGACCCAGCCCUGCUACAGAGUGGCCGUGGCACCCCGGGCAGCUGCUCUGCCUCUGGUCCUGCUGAUCGGGGCCUGACCACUCUGCUCAUCUCCAGAAAGGUCAGCUCUGGUGGGGCAGCGGCUGGGGAUCUGGCCCUGGAUCCGCUCCUCUACCUCAGCCCCUUUCCUCUGUAGCCCGGCAGCUCCAGCUGCUGUAACCUCAACACCCUUUCAGGGCAGGAAGUGGACAUCCUCUCAUGCAGGAGGAUGGACCAGGGCCCAUCCCUGAUCUGGGGAGGGGAGGGGGGACCCUGGUGGGACGGUGGGCUGGGUUGUCAGUCAGAGGCUCUGGUAGGUCAGUGACAUCUAGCCGCUUCCUUUGAGGGUCACUCACACACUCAGGAGAUUUUCAUCAUUUGCUGAUCUGCAUUUGGGAACUUCCCUACUCGCUAAAAUCUAUUUGUAACCCUAAAAUCAGUACUUGUCUCGCAAUCAUUUGCUGAUAUGCAUAGACCAGCAGAAUUUCUGAGUCCCCAGCUGAGGUCAGAAGGAGCCACUCUGGGCUUUUUUGUUCAAUCUCACGCUGCAAACACGGCCAGUUCAGCACUCAGUCUUCCACAUUUUUGUGCUUUUGGGGGAGACAGUCCUGUUUCACGUGGCCCUGGCCCAGCCCUAAAUGUGUCCAGUGUCC
RNAcentral lists this long non-coding RNA (1082 nucleotides) under Bos grunniens (domestic yak). RNAcentral describes it as "lncRNA (ENSBGRG00000005161.1)". Lineage: Eukaryota; Metazoa; Chordata; Mammalia; Artiodactyla; Bovidae. The record is from RNAcentral.